RNAcentral lists this ribosomal RNA (561 nucleotides) under uncultured Clonostachys. RNAcentral describes it as "eukaryotic LSU rRNA". The stretch from base 200 to 353 matches the Rfam family "5.8S ribosomal RNA". The record is from RNAcentral. Lineage: Eukaryota; Fungi; Ascomycota; Sordariomycetes; Hypocreales; Bionectriaceae.
AAGUCGUAACAAGGUCUCCGUUGGUGAACCAGCGGAGGGAUCAUUACCGAGUUUACAACUCCCAACCCCUGUGAACCUUACCUAUCGUUGCUUCGGCGGUCGCCCCAGCGCCCUCGGGCCUGGAGCCAGGCGCCCGCCGGAGGCCCAAAACCACUGUGUAUUAUUGGCAUUAUCUGAGUUAAACAAACAAAUAAAUCAAAACUUUCAACAACGGAUCUCUUGGUUCUGGCAUCGAUGAAGAACGCAGCGAAAUGCGAUAAGUAAUGUGAAUUGCAGAAUUCAGUGAAUCAUCGAAUCUUUGAACGCACAUUGCGCCCGCCAGUAUUCUGGCGGGCACGCCUGUCUGAGCGUCAUUUCAACCCUCAUGCCCCUAGGGCGUGGUGUUGGGGAUCGGCCAAAGCCCGCGAGGGACGGCCGGCCCCUAAAUCUAGUGGCGGACCCGUCGUGGCCUCCUCUGCGAAGUAGUAAUAUUCCGCAUCGGACAGCGACGAGCCCCUGCCGUUAAACCCCCAACUUUCUAAGGUUGACCUCAGAUCAGGUAGGAAUACCCGCUGAACUUAA